Molecule: ribosomal RNA, 141 nt
Filed under: uncultured bacterium
Lineage: Bacteria
Description: partial 16S ribosomal RNA
Rfam family: Bacterial small subunit ribosomal RNA
Source: RNAcentral
UGGGGAAUAUUGCACAAUGGGCGAAAGCCUGAUGCAGCGACGCCCGGUGAGGGAUGACGGCCUUCGGGUUGUAAACCUCUUUCAGUAAGGGAAGAAGCGAAAGUGACGGUACCUGCAGAAGAAGCGCCGGCUAACUACGUG